CCCUUAGAUGUUCUGGGCCGCACGCGCGCUACACUGACGAAUGCAACGAGCUUAUAACCUUGGCCGAAAGGUCUGGGUAAUCUCCAAAUUUAGUCGUGAUGGGGAUAGAUUAUUGCAAUUAUUAAUCUUCAACGAGGAAUGCCUAGUAAGCGCAAGUCAUCAGCUUGCGUUGAUUACGUCCCUGCCCUUUGUACACACCGCCCGUCGCUCCUACCGAUUGAAUGGUCCGGUGAAGCGUUCGGACCGUGGCCUUUGGACGGUUCGCCGUCUGUUGGCUGCGGGAAGUUCGUUAAACCUUAUCAUUUAGAGGAAGGAGAAGUCGUAACA
RNAcentral lists this ribosomal RNA (327 nucleotides) under uncultured eukaryote. Its description in RNAcentral is "partial 18S ribosomal RNA". It matches the Rfam family "Eukaryotic small subunit ribosomal RNA", at positions 1470 to 1796 of the family's 1831-position model. The record is from RNAcentral.